AAUAUCAACAUACUGACUGCAAUAUUUCUAUCGAUGUUCUUUUACUUGCUAAUAAUCAAAUUGCAGACAUCAACUAUUUGCUCCAAAAAUUGCCAAAUCCUCAAAAGAUGGAAAGCAUAAAAGACAGAAAGGACAUUUUCUUCAUGGAAGGACAUAUUUAACUCACAGCCUCAAGCCUGUUUGUUUAUUUUUCCCCCCAAUGGAAAGGCAAGCAUAAGAUUCCACCCACAGGAACACUAGAUUAAAUCAGGAGGAAUGCCACCGAAAAAAAGCAUAGUGAAGAGAAGGAACAGCACAUCUCAAAAGAGAAAGUGCAUCUGGCU
Molecule: long non-coding RNA, 323 nt
Organism: Lepidothrix coronata (blue-crowned manakin)
Lineage: Eukaryota; Metazoa; Chordata; Aves; Passeriformes; Pipridae
Exons: 3
Source: RefSeq, a predicted model, not a curated record